Molecule: long non-coding RNA, 806 nt
Organism: Dreissena polymorpha
Lineage: Eukaryota; Metazoa; Mollusca; Bivalvia; Myida; Dreissenidae
Exons: 3
Source: RefSeq, a predicted model, not a curated record
AUGCAAUUUUUGGCUUAGACACAGCAUGGUAUCAGAUAAGAGAAUAGCCAGUCCCUAUCAGUCCUCCAUCUAAGCCUAACUAAGGGGUGUUGAUAUACUUUUGAUUUGUUCAGGCACCAUCUAUUUGAGAACCACAGAUAGGAAGUUAUUUUUUGAAAACAAGCAGCAUCAGCAACUGACUUUAAGCUAGAAUUAAGACUUAUUAUUUUAGUGUAAAAUGUCUUGAAAUACUUUCAGCAUGAAGUAUUGUGUGAUGAAAAAAAAUGUGUAUUUACUACAAUGUGUAAAUCAACAAUAAAGGAGAUUAAAAGUGGGUGGUUAAAGACAUAUAAAGUGAUAUGGUCUAGUUCAACAACUGCCUGUAUUUUUGGAAUACUGAAGAACAGUCUGUUGUAACAGGUUAAACCCCAUGGAAAGAAUGUGCAUCAUCGCAUCGCCUGCCAAAAAAGGGAGCAAAAAAGAGACUACCUGAUGUAUGGACUUGAAUACCAGGUUUUACCCUGCACAAGCUGGCCGACAUGAGGAGAACAGGAGUGGGAAAACCGCGCCCUCUCCUUGACCAAGAAAAGCUGGAUUUGUUUAGAGGACCUGAUCAAAUGAGAUCAUGCACGAGACGCAUCGCGCAAAGGCCAUGACAGUAUAAUUGUUGCAAAGAAGUUUGACCGGCUAGUGGCAGACUUGGAGAGAAAGAUGAGAGCUGCACUCCGCUGCCUCAAAGAAAUGCUGAAAGGCCUUGAUUGAUAUGCAUCUUUCUUAUGUAUAUAGCUGUUCGUGUGUAUAUACUGUACAUGUUAUUAUAGUAUGCU